RNAcentral lists this ribosomal RNA (256 nucleotides) under uncultured bacterium. RNAcentral describes it as "partial 16S ribosomal RNA". It matches the Rfam family "Bacterial small subunit ribosomal RNA", at positions 521 to 776 of the family's 1533-position model. The record is from RNAcentral.
UAAUACGAAGGUGGCGAGCGUUGUUCGGAUUCACUGGGCAUAAAGGGCGCGUAGGCGGUGCCGUAAGCGGCGUGUGAAAUCCCAGGGCUCAACCCUGGGGCUGCGCGCCGGACUGCGGUGCUUGAGUGCGGGAGGGGGGUGUGGAACUCUAGGUGGAGCGGUGAAAUGCGUAGAUAUCUAGAGGAACACCGGUGGCGAAAGCGACACCCUGGCCCGCAACUGACGCUGAGGCGCGAAAGCGUGGGUAGCAAACAGG